GACGAACGCUGGCGGCGUGCUUAACACAUGCAAGUCGAACGGAAAGGCCCCGCUUUUGCGGGGUGCUCGAGUGGCGAACGGGUGAGUAACACGUGAGUGACCUGCCCUUGACUUUGGGAUAACUUCAGGAAACUGGGGCUAAUACCGGAUAGGAGCGCCUGCUGCAUGGUGGGGGUUGGAAAGUUUAGGCGGUUGGGGUUGGACUCGCGCCUUAUCAGCUUGUUGGUGGGGUAGUGGCUUACCAAGGCUUUGGCGGGUAGCCGGCCUGAGAGGGUGACCGGCCACAUUGGGAUUGAGAUACGGCCCAGACUCCUACGGUAGGCAGCAGUGGGGAAUAUUGCACAAUGGGCGGAAGCCUGAUGCAGCCACGCCGCGUGCGGGAUGACGGCCUUCGGGUUGUAAACCGCGUUCGCCUGUGACGAAGCGUGAGUGACGGUAAUGGGAGAAGAAGCACCGGCUAACUACGUG
Molecule: ribosomal RNA, 468 nt
Filed under: uncultured bacterium
Lineage: Bacteria
Description: partial 16S ribosomal RNA
Rfam family: Bacterial small subunit ribosomal RNA
Source: RNAcentral